CUUCAUUACGACACCUUCCUGGUGAUUCGCUACGUCAAGAGGCAUUUGACGAUAAUGAUGGAUAUUGAUGGCAAGCAUGAGUGGAGGGACUGCAUUGAAGUGCCCGGAGUCCGCCUGCCCCGCGGCUACUACUUCGGUACCUCCUCCAUCACUGGGGAUCUCUCAGAUAAUCAUGAUGUCAUUUCCUUGAAGUUGUUUGAACUGACAGUGGAGAGAACCCCAGAAGAGGAAAAGCUCCAUCGAGAUGUGUUCUUGCCCUCAGUGGACAAUAUGAAGCUGCCUGAGAGUGAGCACAGGGGCCCGCGGGAAAUGGUCCCAUAGU
This 322-nucleotide small RNA is filed under the name Pan troglodytes (chimpanzee). Its description in RNAcentral is "retained intron". Lineage: Eukaryota; Metazoa; Chordata; Mammalia; Primates; Hominidae. The record is from RNAcentral.